AGAGUUUGAUCCUGGCUCAGGAUGAACGCUAGCGGCAGGCUUAACACAUGCAAGUCGAGGGGCAGCGGGGAGGAAGCUUGCUUUCUCCGCCGGCGACCGGCGCACGGGUGAGUAACACGUAUGCAACCUGCCCCUGUCAGGGGGACAACCCGCCGAAAGGCGGGCUAAACCCGCGUACAUGCCACCGGGGCAUCCCGGAGGCAGGAAAGGCUUCGGCCGGACAGGGAUGGGCACGCGGCGCAUUAGGCAGUAGGCGGGGUAACGGCCCACCUAACCGACGAUGCGUAGGGGUUCUGAGAGGAAGGUCCCCCACACUGGUACUGAGACACGGACCAGACUCCUACGGGAGGCAGCAGUGAGGAAUAUUGGUCAAUGGUCGGGAGACUGAACCAGCCAAGCCGCGUGAGGGAGGAAGGUACAGAGUAUCGUAAACCUCUUUUGUCAGGGAACAAAGACUGGGACGCGUCCCCGGAUGAGUGUACCUGAAGAAAAAGCAUCGGCUAACUCCGUGCCAGCAGCCGCGGUAAUACGGAGGAUGCGAGCGUUAUCCGGAUUUAUUGGGUUUAAAGGGUGCGCAGGCGGUCUGUUAAGUCAGCGGUCAAAGCCCGGGGCUCAACCCCGGCCCGCCGUUGAAACUGGCAGUCUCGAGUUGGAGAGAAGUAUGCGGAAUGCGCGGUGUAGCGGUGAAAUGCAUAGAUAUCGCGCAGAACUCCGAUUGCGAAGGCAGCAUGCCGGCUCCACACUGACGCUGAGGCACGAAAGCGUGGGUAUCGAACAGGAUUAGAUACCCUGGUAGUCCACGCAGUAAACGAUGAAUGCUGGCUGUCCGGGGGGACUGACCCCUGGGUGGCGAAGCGAAAGCGAUAAGCAUUCCACCUGGGGAGUACGCCGGCAACGGUGAAACUCAAAGGAAUUGACGGGGGCCCGCACAAGCGGAGGAACAUGUGGUUUAAUUCGAUGAUACGCGAGGAACCUUACCCGGGCUCAAACGGGGAGUGGCGCAGGCAGAGACGCCUGUUUCCCACGGGACACUCCCCGAGGUGCUGCAUGGUUGUCGUCAGCUCGUGCCGUGAGGUGUCGGCUUAAGUGCCAUAACGAGCGCAACCCCCGCGUGCAGUUGCUAACAGUCAACGCUGAGGACUCUGCACGGACUGCCGGCGCAAGCCGCGAGGAAGGCGGGGAUGACGUCAAAUCAGCACGGCCCUUACGUCCGGGGCGACACACGUGUUACAAUGGGUGGUACAGCGGGAAGCCAGGCGGCGACGCCGAGCGGAACCCGAAAUCCACUCUCAGUUCGGAUCGGAGUCUGCAACCCGACUCAAGUGAAGCUGGAUUCGCUAGUAAUCGCGCAUCAGCCAUGGCGCGGUGAAUACGUUCCCGGGCCUUG
This 1387-nucleotide ribosomal RNA is filed under the name uncultured bacterium. Its description in RNAcentral is "16S ribosomal RNA". It matches the Rfam family "Bacterial small subunit ribosomal RNA", at positions 8 to 1383 of the family's 1533-position model. The record is from RNAcentral.